RNAcentral lists this transfer RNA (71 nucleotides) under Loxodonta africana (African savanna elephant). It matches the Rfam family "tRNA". From Rfam's summary of the family: Transfer RNA (tRNA) molecules are approximately 80 nucleotides in length. Their secondary structure includes four short double-helical elements and three loops (D, anti-codon, and T loops). Further hydrogen bonds mediate the characteristic L-shaped molecular structure. tRNAs have two regions of fundamental functional importance: the anti-codon, which is responsible for specific mRNA codon recognition, and the 3' end, to which the tRNAs corresponding amino acid is attached (by aminoacyl-tRNA synthetases). tRNAs cope with the degeneracy of the genetic code in two manners: having more than one tRNA (with a specific anti-codon) for a particular amino acid; and 'wobble' base-pairing, i.e. permitting non-standard base-pairing at the 3rd anti-codon position. Lineage: Eukaryota; Metazoa; Chordata; Mammalia; Proboscidea; Elephantidae. The record is from Rfam by way of RNAcentral.
GUAGUGGUGGUUCAGUGGUAGAAUUCUUGCCUCCCAUGCAGGAGACCCGGGUUCAAUUCCUGGCCAGUGCA